RNAcentral lists this ribosomal RNA (199 nucleotides) under uncultured prokaryote. Its description in RNAcentral is "partial 16S ribosomal RNA". The record is from RNAcentral.
UACAAGGGGAACAAGCGUUAUUCACCCUGAAUAGGUCUAAAGGGGCUGUAGGCUGCACACAACCCUGCGGAACAAUGACAAAUACUAGGCGGGUAGGAAGAUAGAGUAACUAGAACGAAAGCUUCGAAUAACUAUCUUAACCAGUGGGCUAGAGUGCGAUGCAGGAAGCAGGAAUACCAGGAGUAGGGAUGGAAUCCGC